UCAGGUCAGUGGCUGGAGCACAGGA
This 25-nucleotide non-coding RNA is filed under the name Mus musculus (house mouse). The record is from RNAcentral. Lineage: Eukaryota; Metazoa; Chordata; Mammalia; Rodentia; Muridae.